GACGAACGCUGGCGGCGUGCUUAACACAUGCAAGUCGAACGGUGAGGCCCUUCGGGGUACACGAGUGGCGAACGGGUGAGUAACACGUGGGUGAUCUGCCCUGCACUUCGGGGUAAGCCUGGGAAACUGGGUCUAAUACCGGAUAGGACCACUGCCUGCAUGGGUGGUGGUGGAAAGCUUUUGCGGUGUGGGAUGGGCCCGCGGCCUAUCAGCUUGUUGGUGGGGUGAUGGCCUACCAAGGCGACGACGGGUAGCCGGCCUGAGAGGGUGACCGGCCACACUGGGACUGGGAUACGGCCCAGACUCCUACGGGAGGCAGCAGUGGGGAAUAUUGCACAAUGGGCGCAAGCCUGAUGCAGCGACGCCGCGUGAGGGAUGACGGCCUUCGGGUUGUAAACCUCUUUCAGCACCGACGAAGCGCAAGUGACGGUAGGUGCAGAAGAAGGACCGGCCAACUACGUGCCAGCAGCCGCUGUAA
This 478-nucleotide ribosomal RNA is filed under the name uncultured bacterium. Its description in RNAcentral is "partial 16S ribosomal RNA". It matches the Rfam family "Bacterial small subunit ribosomal RNA", at positions 28 to 523 of the family's 1533-position model. The record is from RNAcentral.